This is a non-coding RNA of Cinara cedri, 405 nucleotides long. The record is from the annotation of a GenBank genome assembly. NCBI's taxonomy places the organism in Eukaryota, Metazoa, Arthropoda, Insecta, Hemiptera, Aphididae.
CGCGUGUCCGUAACCGACGCAGUUUUGUUGUCUCGUUCCGUCGUCGUCGUCCGCCCGAACUUUCCGCGUAACAGUUGUACCGCCGGCCGCAGACGCGACAUUGACGACAACGGCUCUCGAGCAUAAUAGAGCGUGGUUUUUAUUUUAUUUUUUUUUUUUUUUGUCCGACGGGCGGCCACGGCAAUACGUUGUACGUUAAUAACAAGUAACGAUAAUAGUAGGAAAAAAAAAAAAAAACACAACGACGACGAAGGCGAUUUUUUUUUUUUAAAAAACUCUAUAAAAUCGCGUCGAAAGUCGCGGCGCGCGGGACCUCGUGAUAACCGUGACCGAAACACUAUCGUCGUCGCCGCCGCCGCCGUCCGGGCCCGCGUCGGGUCAGACAUCGUCCACUUUAUGGUGCCG